Molecule: ribosomal RNA, 505 nt
Filed under: uncultured bacterium
Lineage: Bacteria
Description: bacterial SSU rRNA
Rfam family: Bacterial small subunit ribosomal RNA
Source: RNAcentral
UGGCGGCGUGCCUAAUACAUGCAAGUCGAACGAGGUGCUUUUGUAGCAAUACGAAAGUAUCCUAGUGGCGAACGGGUGAGUAACGCGUUGGUGACCUACCCCAAAGUGUGGGAUAACAGUUCGAAAGAACUGCUAAUACCGCAUGUGGUUAUCGGGUUUAGAAACUGAUAACUAAAGGAGCAAUUCGCUUUGGGAGGGACCUGCGUCCCAUCAGCUAGUUGGUGAGGUAAUGGCUUACCAAGGCGACGAUCAGUAGUUGGUCUGAGAGGACGACCAGCCACACUGGGACUGAGACACGGCCCAGACUCCUACGGGAGGCAGCAGUGGGGAAUUUUGGACAAUGGGCGCAAGCCUGAUCCAGCAAUGCCGCGUGAGUGAAGAAGGCCUUCGGGUUGUAAAGCUCUUUCAGUUGAAAAGAAAAAGCCGUGACUAAUAAUCAUGGUUCAUGACGGUAUCAACAGAAGAAGCACCGGCUAACUACGUGCCAGCAGCCGCGGUAAUACGU